Molecule: long non-coding RNA, 751 nt
Filed under: Olea europaea subsp. europaea
Lineage: Eukaryota; Viridiplantae; Streptophyta; Magnoliopsida; Lamiales; Oleaceae
Source: RNAcentral
AAAAUUUAUAUUUAAGAAAAUUAAAAUCACUUACUGGCGAUGCUGUGGAGAGGCCCAUGUGAGAAUCGUGAGUCAUGCAAUUCUUUCAAACUCGGCCACAUCAUCUGUCAACUCUUAAGAAUAUCAAUUUUGUGUGAAUAAGCUUUUUAGGAGCAAUAGCGCUUGAACAAGAAAAAUGCCCUAGUAAGUAGAAAGUACAAAAUAAAGGACAUGAACAAGAUAAUUUUGACAAAAUUAAACUUUUUCUGUGGGUAAUUGUCUAUGUAGUGAGCUUGCAAUCAAACAACGAUGAAGAAAGAAGAAUAGCUUCCGUCCACAACACUUCGUCGACAACAAUACAAAAGAAGAAGAAAAGGGUCUUCUGAGGAUUCCAAUUUCUUAGAUGUAAACGAGAUCUAUGGAGAUUUUUUCAGGAUUUUCUUUUGAUUUUGAAGUUCUCGUAUAAUUCGAGAGAGGAAGAAUGAAUUUGGGGCUGAGAUAAACAAGAUUUGUGGGGAAUUUUUUAUGGUUGUCGGUAGAUUUUGAGGUUCUUCUGUAGUUUGAAAAGCGAGGAACGAAUGUGAGGCAAAGAGAAGAGGUGAAGAAGGUAUAAGAAAUAGACCGUUGUUGAAGGGUAAAAUGGGAAAACAAAAAAUGCUUCCCAAAUGAACAAUAAAUAGCAGAUUUCUUCUUUUAAGAUACUAGUUUUUUUACUUUGCAAUGCACGAGUUAUGUUAUUUUUAAUGUAAUAUUAGUGUUUUGAAUGUUAAGG